AACGAACGCUGGCGGCAUGCCUAACACAUGCAAGUCGAACGAGACCUUCGGGUCUAGUGGCGCACGGGUGCGUAACGCGUGGGAAUCUGCCCUUCGGUUGGGAAUAACUGAGAGAAAUUUCAGCUAAUACCUUAUAAUGUCUUCGGACCAAAGAUUUAUCGCCGAGGGAUGAGCCCGCGUAGGAUUAGGUAGUUGGUGGGGUAAUGGCCUACCAAGCCGACGAUCCUUAGCUGGUCUGAGAGGAUGAUCAGCCACACUGGGACUGAGACACGGCCCAGACUCCUACGGGAGGCAGCAGUGGGGAAUAUUGGAUAAUGGGCGAAAGCCUGAUCCAGCAAUGCCGCGUGAGUGAUGAAGGCCUUAGGGUUGUAAAGCUCUUUUACCCGGGAUGAUAAUGACAGUACCGGGAGAAUAAGCUCCGGCUAACUCCGUG
RNAcentral lists this ribosomal RNA (433 nucleotides) under uncultured bacterium. Its description in RNAcentral is "partial 16S ribosomal RNA". It matches the Rfam family "Bacterial small subunit ribosomal RNA", at positions 29 to 507 of the family's 1533-position model. The record is from RNAcentral.